Schizosaccharomyces pombe (fission yeast) is the source of this 745-nucleotide non-coding RNA. Lineage: Eukaryota; Fungi; Ascomycota; Schizosaccharomycetes; Schizosaccharomycetales; Schizosaccharomycetaceae. The record is from the annotation of a GenBank genome assembly.
GAAAUAUUAAAGGUAAAUAAGGAACGGCUGAACGGAAAAAAACUUGUAAAUUUAUGCAUUUACAGUUGUAUGAAAAACAAAAAGAAUUGUUUAUAAUUAAGAAAAAUCACUAGCUUUUCCACCAAUUAACAAUCCAACGAUCAAUCCAAAUAAUCCCAAGACACUUCCGAAAAUUUCGACAACAAGAACUUUUACGAAAAGAGAAGCGUCUUGGGCAUCCGCAAGGGCAGCACUGCUUCCUGUGAUACCGACGCAGACACCACAAAUGAGAUUGCAGAGACCAACAGUAAUACCUCCCCAAAACAAGGCAAAACCAGUAUAAUAAUGGGAUUUUGUAUAAAAACCUGCAGGAUUGAUGUCGUUAAUUUUAGCGGAAAAGACAAUAGCUAUAAUAAGUGAAUAAAUGGCAACGACCUCACAAAAGAUAAUACUAAUCAAAUUUUUGGUCUUGAUGCGAGGAGCUUUUACAGCACCUCCUAAAAUGGAUGUUCCACAAAUAAAAAUACCCCAUGCAGCACCUAUAAUACCAAAUGCAACACAGCUAGCAAUGCCAAGAAGGCCCCAUGUGUACGGACUAGUGUCUAAAAGAAAGCUUCCAAAAUCAAAAGAUUCUCCACUGUUAUGGAAAAGCAUAUACAGCCCAACAAUUAUUGACAUAACUGUGGUUGUCCAUAAAGAUGUGCUAAACAAAGACAUUUUGUUAUUCUCUGAUUUUUCAGUUUUAAUCUAAAAGUGGUGGGUAAAG